GAUAAACGCUAGCGGCAGGCCUAACACAUGCAAGUCGAGGGGCAGCAUAGAUUGUAGCAAUACAAUUGGUGGCGACCGGCGCACGGGUGCGUAACGCGUAUGCAACCUACCCGUCACAGGGGGAUAAUCCGGAGAAAUCUGGUCUAAUACCCCAUAACAUAUGGAUCGGCAUCGGUUCAUGUUGAAAUUUUCGGAGGUGACGGAUGGGCAUGCGUAGCAUUAGCUUGUUGGUGAGGUAACGGCUCACCAAGGCGACGAUGCUUAGGGGGACUGAGAGGUUUUCCCCCCACACUGGUACUGAGACACGGACCAGACUCCUACGGGAGGCAGCAGUGAGGAAUAUUGGUCAAUGGGCGCAAGCCCGAACCAGCCAUGCCGCGUGCAGGAUGACGGCUCUAUGAGUUGUAAACUGCUUUUGUACGAGGGUAAAGUGGGUUACGUGUAACCUUUUGAAAGUAUCGUACGAAUAAGGAUCGGCUAACUCCGUGCCAGCCGCCGCGGUAA
Molecule: ribosomal RNA, 504 nt
Filed under: uncultured bacterium
Lineage: Bacteria
Description: partial 16S ribosomal RNA
Rfam family: Bacterial small subunit ribosomal RNA
Source: RNAcentral